GACGGAGGAUGCAAGCGUUAUCCGGAAUGAUUGGGCGUAAAGCGUCCGCAGGUGGCAGUUCAAGUCUGCUGUCAAAGACCGGGGCUUAACUUCGGAAAGGCAGUGGAAACUGAACAGCUAGAGUAUGGUAGGGGCAGAGGGAAUUCCUGGUGUAGCGGUGAAAUGCGUAGAGAUCAGGAAGAACACCUAUGGCGAAGGCAGCACUCUGGGACGGUACUGACGCUGAGACGCGAAAGCGUGGGGAGCGAACAGG
RNAcentral lists this ribosomal RNA (253 nucleotides) under uncultured bacterium. RNAcentral describes it as "partial 16S ribosomal RNA". It matches the Rfam family "Bacterial small subunit ribosomal RNA", at positions 524 to 776 of the family's 1533-position model. The record is from RNAcentral.